AAGUAUUUCUUCAUUUGCAGAUCACCAUGGGACCCACAACAUUUCAAAGUCAUUUUGAGGAAAUUGUGGCAAACGCACCUGUUGAUGAAAAGGGGGAGCCAAAUGAGUAUCAUUCACCUACAUUCAUGCCUAACCUUGUCAAAUAUUUCCUACCUCAAGCAGUUUUGUGGUCUGGUCUCAUGCUGGGUGAUCUUGGCCGUCAUGGAAAAGGACCAGCCUACAAACAUUUGUCCAAGAUUUUUAUGCGUUGUAGUCAGUCAGGCACACAGAACUACAAUGAGGACAACAAGACACAGGGUAUAAUGGAGAAAAGCCAAUGGGCUCUGAAAAAAAUUAGAUUCCAGAGACGUCGUCUCACAAGGCUUGAUGACUUUGUGCAGAUUUAUCAACAGU
This is a long non-coding RNA of Rhinichthys klamathensis goyatoka, 393 nucleotides long. RefSeq lists it as uncharacterized. The record is from RefSeq and is a predicted model, not a curated record. The transcript has 3 exons. NCBI's taxonomy places the organism in Eukaryota, Metazoa, Chordata, Actinopteri, Cypriniformes, Leuciscidae.